This 474-nucleotide ribosomal RNA is filed under the name Malacostraca environmental sample. RNAcentral describes it as "bacterial SSU rRNA". It matches the Rfam family "Eukaryotic small subunit ribosomal RNA", at positions 1140 to 1476 of the family's 1831-position model. Lineage: Eukaryota; Metazoa; Arthropoda; Malacostraca. The record is from RNAcentral.
AAACUUAAAGGAAUUGACGGAAAGGCACCACCAGGCGUGGAGCUUGCGGCUCAAUUUGACUCAACACGGGAAAUCUCACCAGGCCCGGACACUGGAAGGAUUGACAGAUUGAAAGCUCUUUCUUAAUGAAGUGGAUGGUGGUGCAUGGCCGUUCUUAGUUGGUGGAGUGAUCUGUCUGGUUAAUUCCGAUAACGAACGAGACUCUCCCCUGCUAACGGACCUUAGUGUUUUUCUAGACGGUGUGAUUCGGAGCAAGAGUCCAUGGGCGUAAGCCCCGGUCUCGGACGAUGUCCACUGAUCCUUGGUGCGUUGGUGUUCCGCGUGCCAUCGGAGAGUCGAGUGUUCGCAUUCUUCGCCUCUGUGGAUUUCUCGGUUCAUUGACAAAGCGCCUCGGAGUACGUUUCUUCUUAGAGGGAUUGACGACUUAUAAGUCGUAAGAAACAGGGAGCAAUAACAGGUCUGUGAUGCCCUUAG